GACGAACGCUGGCGGCGUGCCUAAUACAUGCAAGUCGAACGAGAAUUUUUUACACCGAGUGCUUGCACUCACCGUAAGAAAUUCGAGUGGCGGACGGGUGAGUAACACGUGGGUAACCUGCCCAAAAGAAGGGGAUAACAUUUGGAAACAAAUGCUAAUACCGUAUAACCAUGAUGACCGCAUGGUCAUUAUGUAAAAGGUGGUUUUGCUAUCGCUUUUGGAUGGACCCGCGGCGUAUUAACUAGUUGGUAGGGUAACGGCCUACCAAGGUGAUGAUACGUAGCCGAGUUGAGAGACUGAUCGGCCACAAUGGGACUGAGACACGGCCCAUACUCCUACGGGAGGCAGCAGUAGGGAAUCUGCCACAAUGGGCGCAAGCCUGAUGGAGCAACGCCGCGUGAAUGAAGAAGGUCUUCGGAUCGUAAAAUUCUGUUGUUAGAGAAGAAUAUGAGUAAUAGUAACUGAUUAUUCACUGACGGUAUCUAACCAGCAAGUCACGGCUAACUACGUGCCAGCCGCCGCAGUAA
This 527-nucleotide ribosomal RNA is filed under the name uncultured bacterium. Its description in RNAcentral is "partial 16S ribosomal RNA". It matches the Rfam family "Bacterial small subunit ribosomal RNA", at positions 28 to 523 of the family's 1533-position model. The record is from RNAcentral.